CCCUUAGAUGUCCUGGGCCGCACGCGCGCUACACUGACAUGUUCAACAAGCCUCCUAGUUCGACAGGAUUUGGGAAAUCUUGAACGCAUGUCGUGAUAGGGAUAGAUCAUUGCAAUUAUUGAUCUUGAACGAGGAAUUCCUAGUAAACGCGAGUCAUCAGCUCGCAUUGAUUACGUCCCUGCCCUUUGUACACACCGCCCGUCGCACCUACCGAUUGAAUGUUUCGGUGAAGAUUCCGGAUAGGACUUUUUUGAUUUAUUUCAAUUUUGUCUUAAAAGCUAUCUAAACCUCAACAUUUAGAGGAAGGUGAAGUCGUAACA
Molecule: ribosomal RNA, 320 nt
Filed under: uncultured eukaryote
Lineage: Eukaryota
Description: partial 18S ribosomal RNA
Rfam family: Eukaryotic small subunit ribosomal RNA
Source: RNAcentral